GUCAGCCUCUCACUCUCUACCCGCUGGGCGGUACCCCGCAUCUCGCUCUGGCCGCCCCAGAGGUUCGCGGCUUCUGGACCUGCUGUGCCCCUCUCCAGCCUGGAUCAGGACGGAGAACACCCCCGAAACCCACCUCACCAGCACAGCCGGCGGACCCUUCCGGAGGUGGCCGCAGAGACUAGCCAACUUGCGCGCCCGCCGACCCGGACCACAGCUCCCAGCACACCUCAAGGGCCCACGCCCGCCAGGACUACAAUUCCCGGCGUCCUCCGGAAGCUCAAGUGUACCCAGGCGCGGUGCCUGCUGGGAAUUGUAGUUGACGUUGGUCAGCACGGAGGCCACAGGAUCCCAGCCCGGCCUUUGUGGGACUGAGGUGGCGCUGAGUGGGAGAGCAGCAGGCGAUGCGCGAAAGGCGGGACUUGGAGAUAAAUACUGAGCACCCACAACAGGCAGCCAGCACCACUGCAGAUUGGAUACUGCAAUGAUGAUAAGCAUGGCCUGCCUUUAUGGAGGUUCUGGAUGUUCCUGUGGAUAACCUCAAGGAGCACGGGACCUGGGACAUGACUGCCCCCAGCAUUCCUUCUGGCGGCAGACAGAGUUUGUCAGUUCGCCAACAUCCUGCUUUCAUGAGAACAGUUUGCUGUUUGCUCACAGAGCCUCCAGUGGUAUACUGAGUUGGUCACGACCCUCAUUCCUUCGGCCUCCAACAUCUCCCCUUUUGUUUUUGCAUUAAUUGAAUAAAGGUAAUUUCAGGCUGUGCAGCUUUCAAUUGCCGGUUGGUGGUUCACCCGAUCCUAUAGACUAUGAGCAAAAAAACAGAGACAUAACAACAUUAUUCUUGUAAUUAUUAUAAAAGAGACAUUGAAGUUAUGUUUAAGGUAGGUCCAAGGGUUGAGGCUUUUUUUUUUUUUUUUUUUUUUUUGAGAUGGAGUCUCGCUCUGUCACCCAGGCUGGAGUGCAGUGGCGCCAUCUUGGCUCACUGCAAGCUCUGCCUCCCGGGUUCACGUCAUUCUCCCACCUCAGCCUCCUGAUUAGCUGGGACUACAGGUGCCCGCCACCACACCCAGCUA
RNAcentral lists this long non-coding RNA (1070 nucleotides) under Homo sapiens (human). RNAcentral's name for it is "non-protein coding lnc-A1BG-2:2". The record is from RNAcentral. Lineage: Eukaryota; Metazoa; Chordata; Mammalia; Primates; Hominidae.